RNAcentral lists this ribosomal RNA (205 nucleotides) under Paenibacillus terrae. RNAcentral describes it as "partial 16S ribosomal RNA". It matches the Rfam family "Bacterial small subunit ribosomal RNA", at positions 1 to 195 of the family's 1533-position model. Lineage: Bacteria; Bacillati; Bacillota; Bacilli; Caryophanales; Paenibacillaceae. The record is from RNAcentral.
UUUAAUGGAGAGUUUGAUCCUGGCUCAGGACGAACGCUGGCGGCGUGCCUAAUACAUGCAAGUCGAGCGGGGUUGUUGUAGAAGCUUGCUUCUAGAACAACCUAGCGGCGGACGGGUGAGUAACACGUAGGCAACCUACCCAUGAGACUGGGAUAACUACCGGAAACGGUAGCUAAUACCGGAUACAUCCUUUCCCUGCAUAGGG